RNAcentral lists this ribosomal RNA (301 nucleotides) under uncultured bacterium. Its description in RNAcentral is "partial 16S ribosomal RNA". It matches the Rfam family "Bacterial small subunit ribosomal RNA", at positions 509 to 807 of the family's 1533-position model. The record is from RNAcentral.
CAGUAGCCGCGGUAAAACGGAGGGGGCUAGCGUUGUUCGGAAUUACUGGGCGUAAAGCGCACGUAGGCGGCUUGGUAAGUUAGAGGUGAAAGCCUGGAGCUCAACUCCAGAAUUGCCUUUAAGACUGCCGAGCUAGCAGGUGAGAGAGGUAAGUGGAAUUCCGAGUGUAGAGGUGAAAUUCGUAGAUAUUCGGAAGAACACCAGUGGCGAAGGCGGCUUACUGGCUCAUACUGGACGCUGAGGUGCGAAAGCGUGGGGAGCAAACAGGAUUAGAUACCCCUGUAGUCCCUGUCUCUUAUAC